CCUACGGGAGGCUGCAGUGGGGGAUAUUGGACAAUGGGGGGAACCCUGAUGCAGCGACGCCGCGUGGGUGAAGGAGUAUUUCGGUAUGUAAAGCUCUAUCAGCAGGGAAGAAGGAAGUGACGGUACCUGACUAAGAAGCCCCGGCUAACUACGUGCCAGCAGCCGGGGUAAUACGUGGGGCGCAAGCGUUACCCGGAAGUACUGGGGGUAGAGGGGGCGUAGACGGUCAUGCAAGCCUGGAGUGAAAGCCGGGGGCCCAACCCCCGGACUGCCCUGGAAACUGUGUGACUGGAGUGCAGGAGAGGCAGGCGGAAUUCCUGGUGUAGCGGUGAAAUGCGUAGAUAUAUGUAGGAACACCAGCGGCGAAGGCGGCUUGCUGGGUCGAUACUGACGUUGAGGCACGAAAGCGUGGGGAGCAAACAGGAUUAGAUACCCUUGUAGUC
Molecule: ribosomal RNA, 443 nt
Filed under: uncultured bacterium
Lineage: Bacteria
Description: partial 16S ribosomal RNA
Rfam family: Bacterial small subunit ribosomal RNA
Source: RNAcentral